UUGAACGCUGGCGGCAUGCUUUACACAUGCAAGUCGAACGGCAGCACGGGGGCAACCCUGGUGGCGAGUGGCGAACGGGUGAGUAAUAUAUCGGAACAUGUCCGGAAGUGGGGGAUAACGUAGCGAAAGUUACGCUAAUACCGCAUAUGCCCUGAGGGGGAAAGGGGGGGAUCGCAAGACCUCUCGCUUUCGGAGUGGCCGAUAUCGGAUUAGCUAGUUGGUGAGGUAAAGGCUCACCAAGGCGACGAUCCGUAGCUGGUCUGAGAGGACGACCAGCCACACUGGGACUGAGACACGGCCCAGACUCCUACGGGAGGCAGCAGUGGGGAAUUUUGGACAAUGGGGGAAACCCUGAUCCAGCCAUUCCGCGUGAGUGAAGAAGGCCUUCGGGUUGUAAAGCUCUUUCGGCAGGAACGAAACGGCGGAAUCUAAUACAUUCCACUAAUGACGGUACCUGAAGAAGAAGCACCGGCUAACUACGU
RNAcentral lists this ribosomal RNA (482 nucleotides) under uncultured bacterium. Its description in RNAcentral is "bacterial SSU rRNA". It matches the Rfam family "Bacterial small subunit ribosomal RNA", at positions 30 to 506 of the family's 1533-position model. The record is from RNAcentral.